Molecule: transfer RNA, 86 nt
Filed under: Candidatus Omnitrophota bacterium
Lineage: Bacteria; Pseudomonadati; Candidatus Omnitrophota
Description: Candidatus Omnitrophica bacterium tRNA-Leu
Rfam family: tRNA
About the family: Transfer RNA (tRNA) molecules are approximately 80 nucleotides in length.
Source: RNAcentral
GCCGAAGUGGUGGAAUGGCAUACACGUCGGUCUCAAAAACCGAUGAGCGUAAGCUCGUGUGGGUUCGACUCCCACCUUCGGCACCA